GGUUGGAUGGCCGAGCGGUCUAAGGCGCCAGACUAAGGAUCAGCUUCCUUUGAAGCAACAUUGUCUCUCAAGAGGCAUCUGGUCCGAAAGGGCGUGGGUUCGAAUCCCACUCCAAUCA
This is a non-coding RNA of Roridomyces roridus, 118 nucleotides long. The record is from the annotation of a GenBank genome assembly. Lineage: Eukaryota; Fungi; Basidiomycota; Agaricomycetes; Agaricales; Mycenaceae.